Molecule: long non-coding RNA, 1470 nt
Organism: Pteropus alecto (black flying fox)
Lineage: Eukaryota; Metazoa; Chordata; Mammalia; Chiroptera; Pteropodidae
Exons: 5
Source: RefSeq, a predicted model, not a curated record
CUCCUCCCCUUCCCGCUUCCUCUCAGGCUGUUUCUCGCUGAGAGCUUGGCCCAGUCAACUGUGAAAGAUUGUUCCAGACAGGCGAGGCCGAGCAGUUCACCUGGGGGCUGACCUCGAGCUUCACCCACGAGGGACCUGAGCCCCUGGUCCCAUCUCCAGCAGCCGCGGCUGCUCCACUUGACAGUCUCCAUGGGCGAGAGACUGAAGAUUUGUGUCCACCCAGAUCCUGUGUGGAAACCGUGCCCUGCAAUGUGAUGGUGCUGGGGGACGAUAGGAUCAUGAGGGGGCCCCCCACGAAGGGGAGACUGGUACCCUGGUUAAAGGGGUCCCACAGGGCUCCCUCUUUCCGCCACAUAAGGACACAGGGAGAAGUCAGCAGUUUGCAACCUGGAAGAGGAGCCCAGAUAGAACCAUGUGAGUUGGGCGCUGAGCAUCGUCGUCCCUGACUCUCUAUGGGGAAGCCGCCCUGUUCCCCUGGCUGGCCUGAGGUGGUUCUUCCUGCCAGGACAGGGGUUCCUUUCUCUGCCUGCUCAUCAGUCCACGAAGAGCCCAAAGGGACCAGAUGGCUACUGUGACUUGAAAUUCAAUGGGAUAUUUGCUGUGUCCCCUCUGGGAGCCCGACAUGCUGCACAGCCCAGAGUUGGAGCUCAGAGGCUGUGGCUGCCCGAGGUCUGUGGGGCUGUGCUCACUCCAGGCUCCGCCCAACCUACCUCCCCACGUCCAUCUCCCGCCGGCCCCAGAGGCACGUGAGUUUGCAUCCCUGGUCUAGAUCAUGACCGUCAUCCAGCCCCACUGUCAAGUUCUCAUGCAGAGGCAAGGACAACUGGAAGAAUUAAAGGAGGCCGGCGCUCACUUAUUCAUUCGACAAACGCUCACUGAGCUGUUCAGGAUGCACUGGGCACCGGGCCAGACAUGGGGAUGCAGCACAAACACACAAGUGGAUGGAGCCCACAUGCAGCGUACAGUCCGUUCCGGCCCAGUGGAAUUCUGCUCUGCGGCCUUGGGAGUGGAGAGCGAGGCUUCGGCAGUGUGAGGACCUCAAUAGGCGCCAGGAUCGCACCACGGCUAAGUAGCAGAGCUGCAGCUCGAACACAGAUCCUUGACCUUGACGUCUGCUUGGCAGCUCCAGGCCACCCCCUGUGCAGGACAGUGGAGGAAGACGGGCUCCUUCACGGGACACUGCUGCUAUCCGAACGGGUUUCGAGUGAGCCCUGCAGCGAGGUGGUGCAGAUGCAACUUUCCCGAACGCGUCUUAAAAAUGAGAGCCUUUUAAAAACGUUACGAAUAGGCUUUAUUGAUACCACGUGCAAACAACAACAACAAAGAAAGGAAGAUCGUCAGGUGUACACACGGCAAUCAAGCAGAUCGGGUGCGUUGGAACCCAUUAAAGUUAAUUGCUUUCACUUGUUAUUCCCGGGGGCUGUCGUAUCGGUAUUAAACGCCAGUGGAAUCUGCCGUAUGUUUGAUUUA